Molecule: transfer RNA, 77 nt
Filed under: Candidatus Omnitrophota bacterium
Lineage: Bacteria; Pseudomonadati; Candidatus Omnitrophota
Description: Candidatus Omnitrophica bacterium (groundwater metagenome) tRNA-Arg
Rfam family: tRNA
About the family: Transfer RNA (tRNA) molecules are approximately 80 nucleotides in length. Their secondary structure includes four short double-helical elements and three loops (D, anti-codon, and T loops).
Source: RNAcentral
GCCCCUGUAGCUCAGAUGGAUAGAGCACAGGUUUCCUAAACCUGGUGUCGCGUGUUCGACUCACGCCAGGGGCGCCA